This is a long non-coding RNA of Cebus imitator (Panamanian white-faced capuchin), 3503 nucleotides long. RefSeq lists it as uncharacterized. The record is from RefSeq and is a predicted model, not a curated record. The transcript has 3 exons. Lineage: Eukaryota; Metazoa; Chordata; Mammalia; Primates; Cebidae.
CAUAUGGCUAAAAGAUGUACACACACUUCCAUCUAGCCACCUCAGAACCCAAUCUGGACACUGCUCAGGAAAAGGGGGAGGGUGAGUCUGAGAAGUGACAUCUACAAAGGCACCAUUCGACCACAAAAUUGAGUUUACGAACAAAUACCAACAGCAGAGAAGGGGAACCAUGGUUUCAGUUCCCCCUUCUCUAGAAGGAGUCCUCUUUUCAAAGAUGCCCACAGUCUGCAUUCAAUGACCAUUUCAGGGCAGGAGCCUGUGCCCGCGCCCUAGUACCAGAAUCAGGAAGCAGCUCCAUUCAGAGGCAGCAAGUCAGGAGCAAAUCACUUAUCACUACUCUACUCCUGCGCACGGAAUACCCACUACCUGAGUUAGGUGAGUGUGUGACUCCCCAGGAAUCUUUAAAUUGUGGAAAGGAAACUAUGAGACAAUGUAUGCCCAGUACUGAAAUAAGUAAGGUGUCUGAAAUGACAAGUGCUCUGUAAAUAUUAAUUACUAUUAUUACCAUAUUUCCUCGACUCUAAGCCUUAAGUGUUUCAAAAUUUUAGCAUUUCUGUAACGGAGUUCACCUUAAAAUCUCUAUACAUGUACUGGUUUUUCCUAUCCUUCUGCCCCUUGGGCUUUCAUAAAACGAACAGUGAGUCUCAUAGUUGAUGCUGUCUUGGAAUCCAGGAAAUACAGUUUUGGUGCCCCAACCAGUCAGUGGGAACAUGAAGCAAGAGCCAAAUACGCACCAAAGGCCUCUGGGUGCAUGGGGUUAAAACAUAAGGGUUCGGGCGGUGGAAGAGAGAGAAGGAUGUGGCAGAGGCGGCAGGUCAGGAGAGGGCCAGAACCGAGACAGGAAAAUGUCAGGUGACCAUACCCACAUCAAAGACAAAAAUGAGAAAGGCAGUCUAGGAAGGCGACACGGGUCCCUGGGCGAGAGGAAGCGGACUGGCACCAGGCUGGACUAGGAAGCUGUAAGGUGUCAGCGGAGCCUGCGGAGGAUGGAACAAAGGAGACCCCUCGCGGCGGGGGAGACAGUCACCUGGCGGAGGACGAACGCGGCGAGCAGGGCAGGGAAGUUCCUGGGUUCCCGUAAAGCGAUGAGACGUUGUGAAUUCGAAGUAGGUGGGAGAGAAGAGGGACGCGUGGUCUGCAACCAAGACGCCACGGGAUCAGAUGCACCCACCCCUGCUGAGGCCCGUGACCAUCUAAAGGGAACGUCAUUUGAGAGGCCCUACUCAUGGAUGAGAAGCCCUCUCUCCACUGUGGGCUGUGCUGGGUUGGCGGGGCAUUGCCGUGGAAUCAGGGUUUCCUCAGCACCCACAUCGGGCCACUCUCAUAAGAUAGGGUGAUUCCAACAUUCGCGGUUCCCAACAGCCCAGAUGCCCCACAUACAACUCUUGAGCCCACUGGGAGCUCUCCAUGCCCGUUCACAUGUCCCUCUUGCAAGUAGCCCGAUCCGCUGACCUGGUGUUCACGGGCACUAAGAUGUUAAUGGAUUUUCCCUGGUCACCUUUGCAGCUCCACUGUUUUGAGUGGGUUAUUUUAAGGGCAGAAGGUGCUCCCCAGAGGGUUGUCACAAGUGAUAUUUUUCCUUUGUGUCUGCCAGGUUAGCCCCCUUCACCUGUAAGAGCUUGGAGCCUAGAUUUGUCAUUCAUUUGUUCAAGUUUACUGAGUGGUGUCAUGCCAGGCACUUCUUUAGAUACUAAAGAUAAGGCAGGAAACACAAUAUAGACUCUAGGGAUGUGGAACUUAACAUUCCAGUGGGGAUAAAGAGAUGAUACAUGAGUAAAUGUAGAUGAGAUGGAGACCGAUGUUACAAGAAAUGUAGACUAGGGUAAGAAUAGAGCGGCGGAGGAGGUGCUGCCUUAUACAUGAUGGUCAGGGACAGGUCUACCCUUAAUAUUUGCAAGAACUGAGUCAGUACAAAUGGAGGCCCACAUAUGCUGUCUCCAUAUUUUAAAACUACAAACCAAAUAAACCAUGAUAGAAAAUUCCUGUCCUUUUAUCUUGACAUCUAUACCUUCAUCAUAAUCUGGAAGGCCACAUUUACAUUUAGGAUUCUUGGACCCUUCUGAGAUAUGCCCUUGAAUGCAGUGCUUUGGAGGGGGAACUGGUCCUUGGCCCUCAGCCUGCCUUCUCUUGGCACCUUAGCUCUGUCCCAUACUUCAAAUGGCCUUGUGCCCACACCUAUAACAACUCUGUCUGCACAUCAGAGUUUUGUCCACACCUCCUACAAAUAGCCUCUCCUUGACCACCACUCGCUCCUCAGGAGGACAGACCUUGGGAAAGGGCUGAUGCAGGCUGCAGCUGGUAACCUGUUGCUAUUGGAGCAGUAGGUUUUAGGGUCCCAGGUACUCACAGUGUGCUCUAAAAAGGGGAGAGGGGCAAGAGCUUUGGGUACAUCCCACUGGGCUUCUUGCUCUGUGGAAAAGAACAUUGAUGGAAGAGGAUCAGGUGCUCAGAACCCUAGAUUGGGUCACCUCUUGCGGCUGUCUUAAGGCAGUUUUAAAGAGGUAACUUUGAGCCAAAGACCUAAAUGAAGUAUGGGAGGAAGGCUUGUAGCAAUCUGGGUUAGGAGCAUUCCAGGAAGAGGUCCAGAGGUUGGAGCUUUUACUCCCUUCGUGUGUUCAUAAUCUCUCUGCCCCAUGUCUUAAACUGCAUAAAGAAAUUAUGUGUUAACCAACUGGGGUGUCAGUACCUUGCUAACUCUCCUCCCCCACGACACAGCCAAUUCCAGUUGCUGGGUACACCCCGGGGACUCACUCCCUGUACAGCUUCUGCUCUCCAACGCUUCUCACUACUAACAGCUUCUGGGACCAGAAUGGAUGGUCCUCUAGCAACCUUGGCUUCCAUGGGUUGGAAGUACUCCAGCGGCUAGCUCAGGUUCCAAUAAAAUUAGGUACCUUCAAAUGUCUCUGUUGUUAAACAGUGUUGUAGUUCUCAUCCCCGUGGGCCUAGAAAUUAAGGAGACAAUGUCUACUGAACAUACUGAAUGAGAAAGUCACCCCAGAUAAAUACACAAAGAUUUGCUUGUUUGCAUAUCUGUUUCAGAGCAUCAGAAAUGGAAAAGAAUACAAACUAUUUGAAUGGAGUAGGGACAAGUUUCUUGCCAGUGGGGCCAAAAAGGUUUAGGACUGAGUUUUAAAGUCUGGUGUUUCUGUAUCUCAUCUGAAGAGGAAUUUUCAACUUUAAAGUCUUGGAAGCCUUUGUUUAAACAGAACCUUGAAAGGAAACUUAAACAGAUAAGAGCAAGAACAAAAUUAUAACCUAGAGUAAAACUCACUUUCUGUGGUCAAUGGGGACCCUAGGCCUCUAUUUGACAAUCACUGGUUUAGAAUCAAGAACAGAAAUCACAACUUGCCCUUCCUGGAACUUCGGGGAUGAAAAGGUUACAGAAAAGGAAAUUUACUCAGGAAUGGGUGUACAGAGAGGAGGGGUGCUGAGGAAAGCCCUGGAGGCUGGAGGGGGCACUUAGAAAUUCCUACCCAAGUUCCCUGUUCCCCCUUUCCACAUAU